Molecule: unclassified non-coding RNA, 606 nt
Filed under: Hevea brasiliensis (rubber tree)
Lineage: Eukaryota; Viridiplantae; Streptophyta; Magnoliopsida; Malpighiales; Euphorbiaceae
Source: RNAcentral
UUCCUAUAUGAAAUCGAAUAGUCUCUUCUUAAUUUAAGAAUUGAAUUUCUAUACAAUUCCCAACAUUAACCUCCGUUUGUAGAUGUUUGUGAACGGUUUGGGGAGUCUUCUCCGAUGAUAAACUUAUCUUUGCAUACGAAUAGUGGUCAUGGUGCAUAUGGCAUAGGCGAAACAAAGUUUUACUUGCUGCGGAGACCGGAGAUUAUGCAAGUUUAUUAUCUUGGAUUCUAUGUGCUGCUAAGGAAUUUCAGUAAAUUCAGAAUCUGGUGCCUGACUCUGGUGAAACCUUUCGAUGCUGCAAGAGGCAUGGAUUCAUUAGAAGUGUCCUCCAUUGGACUGGGUUAAGUUGAAUGUGGAAGGGUCAUGCAAACCAGGGUUGGCUUGUUAAGGGCAGUGCUGUCGAGGGUUUCAUUUCAAAUUUUGGUAUAUGCUCUACAGAGGGUGCUGAACUCGAGGCAGCGCUUGCAUAGGUUACAGGAGGAAUAUUGAACUGGAAUGUGACAACAAUGGUGUGGUGAAAAUAUUGGCAGCUAAUUAAUGAAAUGCCUUGUAGUAGUUUAAGGUCUCUGCAUUUGGGUAGUCAAGGUUAACCAUUUAUUUUUUAGA